This 480-nucleotide ribosomal RNA is filed under the name Enterococcus faecium. Its description in RNAcentral is "partial 23S ribosomal RNA". It matches the Rfam family "Bacterial large subunit ribosomal RNA", at positions 620 to 1097 of the family's 2925-position model. The record is from RNAcentral. Lineage: Bacteria; Bacillati; Bacillota; Bacilli; Lactobacillales; Enterococcaceae.
CCGGCGAGUUACGAUUGCAUGCGAGGUUAAGUUGAAGAGACGGAGCCGCAGCGAAAGCGAGUCUGAAUAGGGCGUUUGAGUAUGUAGUCGUAGACCCGAAACCAUGUGAUCUACCCAUGUCCAGGUUGAAGGUGCGGUAAAACGCACUGGAGGACCGAACCCACGUACGUUGAAAAGUGCGGGGAUGAGGUGUGGGUAGCGGAGAAAUUCCAAACGAACUUGGAGAUAGCUGGUUCUCUCCGAAAUAGCUUUAGGGCUAGCCUCGGAAUUGAGAAUGAUGGAGGUAGAGCACUGUUUGGACUAGGGGCCCAUCUCGGGUUACCGAAUUCAGAUAAACUCCGAAUGCCAUUCAUUCAUAUCCGGGAGUCAGACUGUGAGUGAUAAGAUCCAUAGUCGAAAGGGAAACAGCCCAGACCACCAGCUAAGGUCCCAAAAUAUAUGUUAAGUGGAAAAGGAUGUGGGGUUGCACAGACAACUAGG